UUUGUAAAGCAGGAGGCGAGUUCUUCCAUAAACCCCCAGCAGCGGGGUUCUUGUGCGUUCCUGUUCUGAAAACAUCCGAAAUUGUGUCUUCCUGUGUGGUUUGACAUCUUCAACCUCAUUAUUCUUCUAUACGGCAUAGUCAAUGUGUUGCUGGACGUGUCGGAGCAGAUUGGACCUUUAUGGGGCCCACAGCACACAGCACCACUUUGAAAGAGGAGAGUUUCAUGUCUCAGUUUCUCUCCUCCAAAACCAUGAGAAGAUUCAGCUCUGGAGGCCCUCAACAACAUGAAUCACAGGCACAGUCUUGUGUCUGCAAUUUGACUAAAUAGUCCUUCUUUCAAACAAAAGCUACCACGGAAAUUCUGUUGUUUAAAAGCUUAAUCACUUAUGUGGAAAAAUCCAUGUGUAAUGUUGGGCAAAUUACAAAAGCAAGUAAAGUACGGGUUUGAAUUGUGAAGACAUUUCUAUGGCCAAGCAGCAACACAUUACCGUAAUUCGGUCUGCAGUAGGAUUUGGGUUGUCUUUUUUUGCCUUACAAAAAUAUAUCCAUUUUCUGAAUGGUUUGCCUGGGCUUUUCACUGCUGUGCUGGAAAGAAAGGGAAAAAAGGAGUGAUAAGCAUAUCUCAACUUGGAUAGGGGCAAUUAUUUAUCUCUCAGGCCAGGGCCAGAGCAAAGGCUAAAGCUCAGAAGAACAAGUUACCCUGCAGUUACACAAACACAGAGCAGAGGAUUUGGUGCUCUCUCCCACAGAUAAGCACAGUUUCUCCGUUGUCCGAUGUUUUGAACAGAUUUUUGCAAGUGUGUAGAGUAAAAAUAAAUCACAUUUAAAUGAGAAAGGACACAUUUGUAUUUGUUUUGACCAGAUGUAAGAACAAACUGUGUGAGGUACUAGAGAACGAGAAGACAAACAUUUAGAAACAUUCUCUCAAAUUUUAAUGUGGAAUUCAAACAAAUGGGGCAGAGGCAUAAUGAGGUAUAGAUGCACUAACACUUUUUCACCAUAUAAGUGGUUUUUGUUUUCCUUCCCGUAUUCACUCUUUUAUGAGCCCAGCACAGAGAACCUCAUGAAAAUCAAAAAAUCGUAAGGCCAUUUUUCCUUCAAGCUCUGAAAAAUGUGCAGUAAUAAUAUCCCCCAUUAGAAGCUGGUGAUGUUUGAAGUCAUAUAUUUAAACUUGCUGUAGGGAAGGCGUUUCAGGUUAAAAGAAGGAAAGAGGGACCGGCCUUGGAAGAUUUUGUGCUCUGCAGUCAUCUGCUCUGAUGCUAAUUUUCUUUUGAGUUAUUAUCAUUGAUGCGCUUUUCAUUCUACCUGGGCCUGGAUGAGAGAUGCGUGUAAAAUGGGUGAAGAUAAGGAAUGCAAAAACCUUGUGUCCUGCAGAAGCUGGCAGCUCUGACCUGCUGUAUCUUGCUCCAGUGAUGUUGGGCAUUUGAGGAUGCCUGCACUGUAUGGCACAAACAUUAAAAAGUUCAGGAGGUUGCCUCCUAAAUUGCUUUUUGCUGGCCAAAACCUGUGUUAUGAUGUUCUGUUCACUAGGUGCAAAUAUUUAACCUAUUUUCAUUUUGCUGAUGGUGAAAGUGUUGGAGUAGGAAACAAAGUCAAUUUCUUCUUUUUAUGAUGCAUGGUAGUUUGUAUCUCUGCCCUUUUCAGUGUAUAUUUUGCUCCCAUUGUGUGUUUAAUUAAAGUAAGGGUUCUUUUUGUAAACCUUUCAUAAACAGAUUGCCCCAAUUUCCCAUGUAG
Molecule: long non-coding RNA, 1735 nt
Organism: Neopsephotus bourkii (Bourke's parrot)
Lineage: Eukaryota; Metazoa; Chordata; Aves; Psittaciformes; Psittacidae
Exons: 2
Source: RefSeq, a predicted model, not a curated record